AGUGAACGCUGGCGGCGGGCCUAAUACAUGCAAGUCGAGCGAACACACAAUGAGCUUUCUCCUCUAACGGUAGCGACUGACGGGUGGGUAACACAUAGAUAACCUACCUAUAUUACGUGGAGAACUUCGGGGAACCGGUUCUGAUACCACAUCAUAUAUUGAACCGCAUGAAUCAAGGGUUAAACGCGCUUUUGCUGUCACUUAGAGAUGGUUCCGCGUCGCAUUGGCUAGUUGGUAAGGUAACGGCCUACCAAGGCAACGAUGCGUAGCCGACCUGAGAGGGUGAUCGGCCACACUGGAACUGAGACACGGUCCAGACUCCUACGGGAGGCAGCAGUAGGGAAUCUUCGGCAAUGGGCGAAAGCCUGACGCAGCCACGCCGCGUGAGUGAAGAAGGUCUUCGGAUCGUAAAACCCUGUUAUUAGGAAAGAAAAAAUGUGUAAGUAAAUAUCCCCGUUUUGACGGUACCCAAACAGAAAGCACCGGCUAACUACGUG
Molecule: ribosomal RNA, 497 nt
Filed under: uncultured bacterium
Lineage: Bacteria
Description: partial 16S ribosomal RNA
Rfam family: Bacterial small subunit ribosomal RNA
Source: RNAcentral